This 460-nucleotide ribosomal RNA is filed under the name uncultured bacterium. Its description in RNAcentral is "partial 16S ribosomal RNA". It matches the Rfam family "Bacterial small subunit ribosomal RNA", at positions 338 to 795 of the family's 1533-position model. The record is from RNAcentral.
CCUACGGGUGGCAGCAGUGAGGAAUAUUGGUCAAUGGGCGCGAGCCUGAACCAGCCAAGUAGCGUGAAGGAUGAAUGCCCUACGGGUUGUAAACUUCUUUUAUAAAGGAAUAAAGUGAGGCACGUGUGCCUUUUUGUAUGUCCUUUAUGCAUAAGGAUCGGCUAACUCCGUGCCAGCCGCCGCGGUAAUACGGAGGAUCCGAGCGUUAUCCGGAUUUAUUGGGUUUAAAGGGAGCGUAGAUGGGUUGUUACGUCAGUUGUGAAAGUUUGGGGCUCAACCGGAAAAUUGCAAUUGAUACUGGCAGCCUUGAGUACAGUUGAGGUAGGCGGAAUUCGUGGUGUAGCGGUGAAAUGCUUAGAUAUCACGAAGAACUCCGAUUGCGAAGGCAGCUUACUAAACUGCCACUGACAUUGAUGCGCGAAAGUGUGGGUAUCAAACAGGAUUAGAUACCCGAGUAGUC